Molecule: ribosomal RNA, 468 nt
Filed under: uncultured bacterium
Lineage: Bacteria
Description: partial 16S ribosomal RNA
Rfam family: Bacterial small subunit ribosomal RNA
Source: RNAcentral
GACGAACGCUGGCGGCGUGCUUAACACAUGCAAGUCGAACGGAAAGGCCCUGCUUUUGUGGGGUGCUCGAGUGGCGAACGGGUGAGUAACACGUGAGUAACCUGCCCUUGACUUUGGGAUAACUUCAGGAAACUGGGGAUAAUACCGCAUAGGAGCUCCUGCUGCCUGGAGGGGGGUGGAAAGUUUCGGCGGUUGGGGAUGGACUCGCGGGUUAUCAGCUUGUGGGUGGGGUAGUGGCUUACCAAGGCUUUGACGGGUAGCCGGCCUGAGAGGGUGACCGGCCACCAUGGGACUGAGGUACGGCCCAGACUCCUACGGUAGGCAGCGGGGGGGAAUAUUGCACAAUGGGCGGGAGCGUGAUACAGCGGCGCGGCGUGCGGGAUGAAGGCCUUGGGGGUAUAAACCGCUUUAGCCUGUGACGAAGCGUGCGUGACGGUAAUGAGAGAAGAAGCACCGGCUAACUACGUG